RNAcentral lists this ribosomal RNA (489 nucleotides) under uncultured Entrophospora. Its description in RNAcentral is "SSU rRNA". It matches the Rfam family "Eukaryotic small subunit ribosomal RNA", at positions 569 to 1061 of the family's 1831-position model. The record is from RNAcentral. Lineage: Eukaryota; Fungi; Glomeromycota; Glomeromycetes; Entrophosporales; Entrophosporaceae.
AGCAGCCGCGGUAAUUCCAGCUCCAAUAGCGUAUAUUAAAGUUGUUGCAGUUAAAAAGCUCGUAGUUGAAUUUCGAGACCGGUUUACUGGUCGUGCUUUUGUACGUACUGGUAUAAUCGGUUUCUCUUUUCUGACGAACUAUAAUGCCAUUAAUUUGGUGUUAUAGGGAAUCAGGACUGUUACUUUGAAAAAAUUAGAGUGUUUAAAGCAGGCUCACGCUUGAAUACAUUAGCAUGGAAUAACGAAAUAGGACGUUUGAUUUUAUUUUGUUGGUUUCUAGGAUCGACGUAAUGAUUAAUAGGGAUAGUUGGGGGCAUUAGUAUUCAAUUGUCAGAGGUGAAAUUCUUGGAUUUAUUGAAGACUAACUACUGCGAAAGCAUUUGCCAAGGAUGUUUUCAUUAAUCAAGAACGAAAGUUAGGGGAUCGAAGACGAUCAGAUACCGUCGUAGUCUUAACCAUAAACCUAAUGCCGACUAGGGAUCGGAUGAU